CCUACGGGAGGCAGCAGUGGGGAAUAUUGGACAAUGGGGGGAACCCUGAUCCAGCGACGCCGCGUGAGUGAAGAAGUAUUUCGGUAUGUUAAGCUCUAUCAGCAGGGAAGAAAGGAAUGACGGUACCUGACUAAGAAGCCCCGGCUAACUACGUGCCAGCAGCCGCGGUAAUACGUAGGCGGCAAGCGUUAUCCGGAUUUACUGGGUGUAAAGGGAGCGUAGACGGUUACGCAAGUCUGGAGUGAAAGGCGGGGGCCCAACCCCCGGACUGCUUUUGAUACUGGAUAACUGGAGUGCAGGGGAGGUAAGUGGAAUUCGUAGUGUAGCGGUGAAAUGCGUAGAUAUUAGGAGGAACACCAGUGGCGAAGGCGGCUUACUGGACUGUAACUGACGUUGAGGCUCGAAAGCGUGGGGAGCAAACAGGAUUAGAUACCCGGGUAGUC
This 443-nucleotide ribosomal RNA is filed under the name uncultured bacterium. Its description in RNAcentral is "partial 16S ribosomal RNA". It matches the Rfam family "Bacterial small subunit ribosomal RNA", at positions 338 to 795 of the family's 1533-position model. The record is from RNAcentral.